RNAcentral lists this ribosomal RNA (350 nucleotides) under uncultured bacterium. RNAcentral describes it as "bacterial SSU rRNA". It matches the Rfam family "Bacterial small subunit ribosomal RNA", at positions 917 to 1271 of the family's 1533-position model. The record is from RNAcentral.
GGGCCCGCACAAGCGGUGGAGCAUGUGGUUUAAUUCGAUGAUACGCGAGGAACCUUACCAAGGCUUAAAUGUAGAGGGACAGGCGGCGAAAGUUGCCCUUCUUCGGACUCUCUACAAGGUGCUGCAUGGUUGUCGUCAGCUCGUGCCGUGAGGUGUCGGGUUAAGUCCCAUAACGAGCGCAACCCCUAUUUCUAGUUGCCAGCGGUUCGGCCGGGGACUCUAGAGAAACUGCCAGCGUAAGCUGUGAGGAAGGUGGGGAUGACGUCAAAUCAUCACGGCCCUUACGUCCUGGGCCACACACGUGCUACAAUGGUAGGUACAGAGGGAAGCCACCCCGCGAGGGGAGCGGA